This 404-nucleotide ribosomal RNA is filed under the name uncultured bacterium. Its description in RNAcentral is "bacterial SSU rRNA". It matches the Rfam family "Bacterial small subunit ribosomal RNA", at positions 355 to 775 of the family's 1533-position model. The record is from RNAcentral.
UGGGGAAUCUUGCCCAAUGGGCGAAAGCCUGAGGCAGCAACGCCGCGUGCGGGAUGACGGCCUUCGGGUUGUAAACCGCUUUCAGCAGGGACGAAAUUGACGGUACCUGCAGAAGAAGCUCCGGCCAACUACGUGCCAGCAGCCGCGGUAAUACGUAGGGAGCGAGCGUUGUCCGGAUUUAUUGGGCGUAAAGAGCGCGUAGGCGGCCUAGUAAGUCGGGUGUGAAAACUCCAAGCUCAACUUGGAGCGGCCACUCGAUACUGCUAUGGCUUGAGUCUGGUAGGGGAUCACGGAAUUCCUGGUGUAGCGGUGAAAUGCUUAGAUAUCAGGAGGAACACCGGUGGCGAAGGCGGUGAUCUGGGCCAGUACUGACGCUGAGGCGCGAAAGCGUGGGGAGCGAACAG